GUGGCAAAUAAUUCACAAAGAGAAUUAUAUGGGGCAAUCCAAAUGUUAAGGUUAUAAUAGAAGAUGAUAGUGAUGAGUAAAAUUUCUUUGUGUAAGAUAUGUCUACUUAUCUUAUUCUAAGACAACCUUAUAUUAUAGCUACUUAUAUGGAAACAAAGGUCAUAGACAAUAGAUUGGCAUAUUCUUGGAUUAGGAGUUGAGAUGGAACAAGAACAGUAU
RNAcentral lists this long non-coding RNA (219 nucleotides) under Physcomitrium patens. RNAcentral describes it as "long non-coding RNA (PPAT_LNC006550)". The record is from RNAcentral. Lineage: Eukaryota; Viridiplantae; Streptophyta; Bryopsida; Funariales; Funariaceae.